This 468-nucleotide ribosomal RNA is filed under the name uncultured bacterium. RNAcentral's name for it is "partial 16S ribosomal RNA". It matches the Rfam family "Bacterial small subunit ribosomal RNA", at positions 28 to 507 of the family's 1533-position model. The record is from RNAcentral.
GACGAACGCUGGCGGCGUGCUUAACACAUGCAAGUCGAACGGAAAGGCCCUGCUUUUGUGGGGUGCUCGAGUGGCGAACGGGUGAGUAACACGUGAGUAACCUGCCCUUGACUUUGGGAUAACUUCAGGAAACUGGGGCUAAUACCGGGUAGGAGCUCCUGCUGCGUGGGGGGGGUUGGAAAGUUACGGCGGUUGGGGAUGGACUCGCGGGUUAUCAGCUUGUUGGUGGGGUAGUGGCUUACCAAGGCUUGGCCGGGUAGCCGGCCUGAGAGGGUGACCGGCCACAUUGGGACUGAGAUACGGCCCAGACUCCUACGGGAGGCAGCAGUGGGGAAUAUUGCACAAUGGGCGGAAGCCUGAUGCAGCAACGCCGCGUGCGGGAUGACGGCCUUCGGGUUGUAAACCGCUUUCGCCUGUGACGAAGCGUGAGUGACGGUAAUGGGUAAAGAAGCACCGGCUAACUACGUG